Long non-coding RNA from Neopsephotus bourkii (Bourke's parrot), 1245 nucleotides. RefSeq lists it as uncharacterized. The transcript is spliced from 3 exons. Lineage: Eukaryota; Metazoa; Chordata; Aves; Psittaciformes; Psittacidae. The record is from RefSeq and is a predicted model, not a curated record.
UCUCUGAGUUACUGCCUUGGCCCUGUGCUGGGGACAUCAGUCAUGGAGGGUGGCUGUGUUGGUAUGGAGAAGGAGAACAAAAAACUCAACCUAUAUGGUUGCAUUCCACUUAAAGUGGGCAUUUCCCUGGUGACCCCCAAAAGUAAAUGUUAAUAGAUACCUCUAGAAAGGUCUCUUGCUUUGCCCUCUUCCCUUCCUGUAAGGGAAUAAUGCUGUGCAGAGACUGAGCAGAUUUUAGGAGCCUGGUCUGCUUUCGUCAUCUUCUGACAUUCAAUAUAGAGACGCAUCUUUUGGGGUGUUUUUUUUUUCCCCAGCUCUACAUCUUACUCCAGAAGUAGGUAAUCUUUGAAUCCCUGUGUCUUAGCCUCAACUGGAAAAGUAGUUCACCUUCUUGUAAGCUCUGAUUGUUAGAUAUGAAAGCUCUGUUUCAUAGCGACUGCAGGGAUUGUAACUCUUCAGCUCUGCUCAUGGGUAAAACUGUACAGCCAAAAAAUAGGAGUUAUAAGAUCUUUUGCUGGACUACUUUUGAGUUGAUCUGGGAUGACAGAACCUAUUUCAGGCCAACAGUUAUUGUAAGGUUUCCAUGGAGAUUAAUGAUGUCAGAGGAGCAACAUCUGAGUGCAGUUUGCUAGAAAACAGGGCUGUAAUGUUAUAGUGGCAAAGUGAAGUCUUUGCAUUUUUGUCAACUCGUGGAAUAGUGAAACACAUUUUCUCAGUGGAUUGCAAUUUGCUUUUUAUUUGUGCUGAACAUGAGCCGAAGUAAUGCUUUUGCAGUGUGAUGAUUCUCCUGCAGUUUACCUCAGUGCCCAGAAAAGGAAUUAUUCUUGCCCCCAGGCCACUUUCUGAAUUCCUGAAAUGCAAAGCUUACCCAGCGAGAGAAUGGCCUACUCAUGUACAAACCAACUGACAGCUCCUCCUGAAAACCAGGACAAGUUAAUACAUUCCACAUGUUCCCUGCCCCAGUUUUUCAAAUUGAUUAUUUUGAAAGGCUAAGUAAGCCUAUCUUUAUUUUGCAGGAAAUGUUUGGUGCCAUUAGGCAGCAAUGCUGUUGAAAAGAACAAAGCUGGAACAGCUUUUGAUAAUGUCCUCUGAGAAAUGGCCAACUGCUAUACAAGUGCAAUGACAGAGCCUUUUGUAGGUACUGACCUCCACACUCUACUGGUGGACUGUUCACUAGAGAGAGGCACCGAACCUGCUGGGAACAACUGAUUUUUGGACAGAAAAAGAAGAGGAAGAACCCUCUGC